Molecule: long non-coding RNA, 1192 nt
Filed under: Phascolarctos cinereus (koala)
Lineage: Eukaryota; Metazoa; Chordata; Mammalia; Diprotodontia; Phascolarctidae
Description: lncRNA (ENSPCIG00000030804.1)
Source: RNAcentral
GAUCUGAUAAUGCUGACUUCUUUUACACCCUAUUUCUCUGUUUUCUCUUCUCCUCGUGUGUGCCUCUCUAGGAUGUCAGCAUAUGUGUGCCAGACCAUCCAUCCUUCACUGCAGCCAGAGGCUUGUCCUCAGCUUUCGCUCAUGAGUGCCAGGCGUGACAUUGCAGGCAGGCGUUCCAGGAGUCCUCGAUGAAUUCCGUUGUGAUUCUUUAAGGAAUCUUCACGAGAAGUCCCCAGGUUGCAGUUCCCUUGAGACGGGAAGGCUUGGACUUCAAGAUGCUUAUAAAGGAAUACCGCAUUCCUCUUCCAAUGAGUGUGGAGGAGUAUCGCAUCGCCCAGCUGUACAUGAUACAGGUAGGUGACCCCACCCUAGGGGGCAGAGCCAGCCUCUGAAGCUGAGGAUGGUGGUCAUCUCCAACCUAUGAGCUUUGAUCUUACUGGGUCCUUGGAGGCCCCCAGGGCAGGGAUUGCUGCCCCCAUUUGUCAGAUGAAGACUCUGGCAAUGACAGAUGGAAGUGGAUAAAGAGCUGGCCUCAGAGGCAGGGUUCAAAUCCACCUCUGAUGCAUUCUGGCAUGGUCACCUUGGUCAUUUGUCCUCUCAGUGCCCGGCUAGCUCUCCAUGACAACAAAUCAUAGUGGGUACUGCUCUGCAUGGGUGGAAGGAGUUUUUUUUCACUGCAUUAGCACCUGCAUUGUCAAAAUCUGGUCCAAUUUUUUAACUUUUUGAGGUCUACAAAGUUCUUCCAUUAUCUCAUUCAGUCCUCCCAAGCACCCUAGGAAGCAACUGCUGCAGGUAUUAUUGUGCCCAUUUUACAGAUGCGUGAAGUGACUUGCUUGGGGUCAUCCAAUAUUGGAUCUGGAACUGGAAGGGUCCUUAAGGGUCAUCUAGUCCAAGCCCCUCAUUUUUCAGUUGAGGAAACUGAGACCCAGAGAGAUUAAGCCACAUAGGUCCUAACUGGCAGAGCUGGAGUUCAUACCCAGAUCCUCUCCUCUGUCUCUAGACCAGAUACCAUUUUUGCUGAGGAUUCCUGACUCUUUCCAGGGCCCUUGCUCUUCUUCCACCCUUAAGGCCUUGUCCUAAAUCCCAUACUGAGUCAGUGGCAGAUGUGGAGUUAAAAUUCAGUUGCAGGACCCAGGUGCAUUCAGUUUGGAGGAGACUCAGGGGGCAUGUGCUGACUGUCUUCAGAUCCAUC